RNAcentral lists this ribosomal RNA (562 nucleotides) under Aureobasidium namibiae. RNAcentral's name for it is "eukaryotic LSU rRNA". It matches the Rfam family "Eukaryotic large subunit ribosomal RNA", at positions 86 to 664 of the family's 3401-position model. Lineage: Eukaryota; Fungi; Ascomycota; Dothideomycetes; Dothideales; Saccotheciaceae. The record is from RNAcentral.
ACGGCGAGUGAGCGGCAACAGCUCAAAUUUGAAAGCUAGCCUUCGGGUUCGCAUUGUAAUUUGUAGAGGAUGCUUUGGGUAAAACGCCAGUCUAAGUUCCUUGGAACAGGACGUCAUAGAGGGUGAGAAUCCCGUAUGUGACUGGAAAUGUUAACCUAUGUAAAGCUCCUUCGACGAGUCGAGUUGUUUGGGAAUGCAGCUCUAAAUGGGAGGUAAAUUUCUUCUAAAGCUAAAUAUUGGCGAGAGACCGAUAGCGCACAAGUAGAGUGAUCGAAAGAUGAAAAGCACUUUGGAAAGAGAGUUAAAAAGCACGUGAAAUUGUUGAAAGGGAAGCGCUUGCAAUCAGACUUGUUUAAACUGUUCGGCCGGUCUUCUGACCGGUUUACUCAGUUUGGACAGGCCAGCAUCAGUUUCGGCGGCCGGAUAAAGGCUCUGGGAAUGUGGCCUCCACUUCGGUGGAGGUGUUAUAGCCCAGUGUGUAAUACGGCCAGCCGGGACUGAGGUCCGCGCUUCGGCUAGGAUGCUGGCGUAAUGGUUGUAAGCGACCCGUCUUGAAACACGG